Molecule: non-coding RNA, 748 nt
Organism: Physcomitrium patens
Lineage: Eukaryota; Viridiplantae; Streptophyta; Bryopsida; Funariales; Funariaceae
Source: RefSeq, a predicted model, not a curated record
GACAUCCUUAAAUUAACCGAGAUGAGGGAUCCUUCAUGUUUUUUAGGGUCUGCAACACACAGAGCUGUAUUCACGUGGGGGCACUUUUAUCACCAGUUCCAGUGAUGAAUCUGGCAAGUGAACAGCCGCUACUGGAUGCAGCGCAUCGACGGUGACAACACCAUUUACAUCACCCACAGACGGAUUGAGCUGGAACGAACAAAUCCGAGAAAAGAAGUUCUAUCAGAUGGGAUCUCAUGCACUUGGCGGUGGUGGUCACGAGGGGUGGCUCAUUUCCUUUAGAAAUCUGGGAGCUGCACCACCAAGUUUUGCUCUGUGUGUUUUUUCUUUCUUUCUUUCUGAGCAGGUGAUAUCCCUUCAUGGCUGGAUGGGGCUGCUCAACCAUUCUUCUGCUCUUUUUCUCCCUACUUCCAAGUCGCCGAUCUCCCAUUCACAGCUCCCUCGUGUUAUUUAAUUUUUCUUUUUGGUUUUUUCCCUUUUUUUGAUUUUUCUGUUCUUGGUUUGUCUGUGGGAAGGUACGAGGUCAGCCCCCUUCAAUAUAAUUAAUCUAAAUUUCUAUUAUCCUCUGUAGAGCACCUGAUUUGUGUUCAAUUUUUGGAUUCAAUUGUGCUUUUGGCCUUUUGAGUCUUGGUCGAUGUUCACAAACUGGUUUUACAUUUAUUUGAGUAUGUUCGAUCUCACUUUGGUAUCAACUAAAGUGAGUAAUCUUUGUGUAUGAAUCAUGAAUAUACUUCUUCUUUUUUGUACA